CCCUUAGAUGUUCUGGGCCGCACGCGUGCUACACUGAGUAAUUCAAUGGGUAAGGGAACGCUAGAGCAUUACCUAAUCUUGAAAUUUGCUCGUGAUGGGGAUCGACGGUUGCAAUUUUCCGUCGUGAACGAGGAAUACCUUGUAGGCGCAUGUCAUCAUCAUGCGCCGUAUACGUCCCUGCCCUUUGUACACACCGCCCGUCGCUCCUACCGAUUGAGUGAUCCGGUGAGGCUCUGGGACCUGGACGGAAAGAGCGUUUCGCUUGUUCUGUUUGGGAAACUUGGUCGAACCUUAUCAUUUAGAGGAAGGAGAAGUCGUAACA
RNAcentral lists this ribosomal RNA (322 nucleotides) under uncultured eukaryote. RNAcentral describes it as "partial 18S ribosomal RNA". It matches the Rfam family "Eukaryotic small subunit ribosomal RNA", at positions 1470 to 1796 of the family's 1831-position model. The record is from RNAcentral.